CCUACGGGCGGCAGCAGUGAGGAAUAUUGGUCAAUGGACGAGAGUCUGAACCAGCCAAGCAGCGUGAAGGAUGACUGCCCUAUGGGUUGUAAACUUCUUUUAUAUGGGAAUAAAACAGGGUAUGCAUACCCUCUUGUAUGUACCAUAUGAAUAAGGAUCGGCUAACUCCGUGCCAGCAGCCGCGGUAAUACGGAGGAUCCAAGCGUUAUCCGGAUUUAUUGGGUUUAAAGGGAGCGUAGGUGGUUUGUUAAGUCAGUUGUGAAAGUUUGAGGCUCAACCGUAAAAUUGCAGUUGAAACUGGUAGUCUUGAGUACAGUAGAGGUGGGCGGAAUGCGUGGUGUAGCGGUGAAAUGCUUAGAUAUCACGAAGAACACCGAUUGCGAAGGCAGCUCACUGGACUGCAACUGACGCUGAUGCUCGAAAGUGUGGGGAGCAAACAGGAUUAGAUACCCGGGUAGUC
This 460-nucleotide ribosomal RNA is filed under the name uncultured bacterium. Its description in RNAcentral is "partial 16S ribosomal RNA". It matches the Rfam family "Bacterial small subunit ribosomal RNA", at positions 338 to 795 of the family's 1533-position model. The record is from RNAcentral.